RNAcentral lists this ribosomal RNA (449 nucleotides) under uncultured bacterium. RNAcentral describes it as "partial 16S ribosomal RNA". It matches the Rfam family "Bacterial small subunit ribosomal RNA", at positions 29 to 523 of the family's 1533-position model. The record is from RNAcentral.
AGCGAACGCUGGCGGCAGGCCUAACACAUGCAAGUCGAGCGCCGUAGCAAUACGGAGCGGCAGACGGGAGAGUGACACGUGGGAACGUACCCUUCAGUACGGAACAACAAAGGGAAACUUUGGCUAAUAUCGUAUACGUCCGUAAGGAGAUAGAUUUAUCGCUGAAGGAUCGGCCCGCGUCUGAUUAGCUAGUUGGUGCGGUAACGGCACACCAACGCGACGAUCAGUAACUGGUCUGAGAGGAUGAUCGGCCUCACUGUGACUGAGACACGGCCCGGUCUCCUGCGAGAGGCAGCGGUGGUGAAUAUUGGACAAUGGGCGCAAGCCUGAUCCAGCCAUGCCGCGUGGGUGAUGAAGGCCCUAGGGUUGUAAAGCCCUUUCGGCGGGGAAGAUAAUGACGGUACCCGCAGAAGAAGCCCCGGCUAACUUCGUGCCAGCAGCCGCCGCCG